GGCCCAUCAAGCCCGAUAUGAUCCGAACGAUCUGAGCCCGGGAGAAGGCGUCGAAAUACUCACCAAGCACGGUUGGAUCGUUACAGGAACAGCGGAUGCUCGUAACAGAAUUGAUCAUGCUAAACGUGACUAGAAGAUUGAACUACACAAGCCGGACGAGGACACGCUGCGGCUACUGGAGUGAUUGAUGAACAAAUGGCAAAACAAGAGGAAUUGAAGAAGCAAACACGGCAGCCAAAAUCUACAUAUCAUCCGGAGAAAUCCAGAACAGAGGCAGCGCUCGUAAGUGAUGCUCUGGAGUUGAUUCUGAAGAAUGCGGGGGCCGGAUUGUUUUGAGAACUUUAAUUUUCAAGGCAAUUUUCCUCUCGGUAGGAGUCGAAAAGAAAUGCAAUGACAGAACUUAGUUAUCAAAUCAAUUGAAAGAAAUAUUAAUAAAGGAUGUUUGGCUAGCUAGAAAACGAAGGAAAAGAGAAUUGAGAAGAGAAAGAUCUGGAAACC
RNAcentral lists this long non-coding RNA (498 nucleotides) under Citrus sinensis (sweet orange). Its description in RNAcentral is "long non-coding RNA (CSIN_LNC005022)". Lineage: Eukaryota; Viridiplantae; Streptophyta; Magnoliopsida; Sapindales; Rutaceae. The record is from RNAcentral.